GAUGAAGAACGUAGCGAAAUGCGAUAAGUAAUGUGAAUUGCAGAAUUCCGUGAAUCAUCGAAUCUUUGAACGCACAUUGCGCCCCCUGGUAUUCCGGGGGGCAUGCCUGUCCGAGCGUCAUUGCAACCCUCAAGCGCGGCUUGUGUGUUGGGCUUCGUCCCCCCGUGGACGUGCCCGAAAGGCAGUGGCGGCGUCCCGGAUGGUGCCCGAGCGUAUGGGAACUCUCUUCCGCUCGAACCGGCCCAUUCGGCGCUGGUCGAACCCCAAUUUUUUUUUACCGGUUGACCUCGGAUCAGGUAGGGAUACCCGCUGAACUUAAGCAUAUCAAUAAGCGGAGGA
Molecule: unclassified non-coding RNA, 339 nt
Filed under: soil metagenome
Description: partial contains 5.8S ribosomal RNA, internal transcribed spacer 2, and large subunit ribosomal RNA
Rfam family: 5.8S ribosomal RNA (bases 1-120)
Source: RNAcentral